CGUACACUCCUGCGGGAGGCAGCAGUGGGGAAUAUUGGACAAUGGGCGCAAGCCUGAUCCAGCCAUGCCGCGUGAGUGAUGAAGGCCCUAGGGUUGUAAAGCUCUUUUGUGCGGGAAGAUAAUGACGGUACCGCAAGAAUAAGCCCCGGCUAACUUCGUGCCAGCAGCCGCGGUAAUACGAAGGGGGCUAGCGUUGCUCGGAAUCACUGGGCGUAAAGGGUGCGUAGGCGGGUCUUUAAGUCAGGGGUGAAAUCCUGGAGCUCAACUCCAGAACUGCCUUUGAUACUGAAGAUCUUGAGUUCGGGAGAGGUGAGUGGAACUGCGAGUGUAGAGGUGAAAUUCGUAGAUAUUCGCAAGAACACCAGUGGCGAAGGCGGCUCACUGGCCCGAUACUGACGCUGAGGCACGAAAGCGUGGGGAGCAAACAGGAUUAGAAACCCUGGUAGUCCCAUG
This 453-nucleotide ribosomal RNA is filed under the name uncultured organism. RNAcentral describes it as "partial 16S ribosomal RNA". It matches the Rfam family "Bacterial small subunit ribosomal RNA", at positions 330 to 799 of the family's 1533-position model. The record is from RNAcentral.